GUGGGUGAGAGANAUGCUUGCAUGGCAUGCUACGCCCCCCCUUGGUGGCAUGCUAAUGACAAGCAUCCGGCCCGAUUUCUAGGUGUGCGUUGGAUCGAUGUCGUGCGUCCCGUUGCGGUUUUGUGUUGGUCCGCUGAUCGUCGAAGCUCAUCCCGUCGUUGUGCAGUAUCCUGCCUUGACCCAUGUGUAUGUCGGACGCGUAUGUGGCGAGUAGGGGAAAAUCGCGACAUAAUUUGCAGGUCCCGUCGUUGUGCAGUAUCCUACCUUGACCCAUGUGUCUUUCGGACACGUACAUGGCGAGUAGGGGAAAAUCGCGACUGGAUUUGCAGGUGCCGUCGUUGUGCAGUAUCCUGCCUUGACCCAUGUGACUGUCGGACGCGUACGUGGCGAGUAGGGGAAAAUCGCGACAAGGAUGUGCUGGGACGUUGACGCGGCUUGGACAGAGUUUGCUUUCGUGUCGUGCGACAUCGUGUUUAACGCGUUUCUCGUACCGUUCGGUGCAUUUCGGGAGCUUCUUCGUGCUUGUGGUUGUUUGCCUGGCUUUCUUGCUGGGUUUGUGGCUACUUGUGCGGGUCGUUUCAGGGAAUGAAUAUCGUAAAGGUGCAUGAGUGGUGUUUGGUGUGUUGCUGGUGGUUGGAUGACUGCAUUCGCAGCAACGUCCACUGGGGCAUGCCUCUUCAUUUACGGCGAACGGUUGAUUGUCAACCGGGAGCACUUGCCGGGUUUUCCUGUGCUGCGUACCUACUUUAGGGCAUGCUGUUGGUUGGUUAAUGUGGAUAUUCGUUCCGCGUCGCUCACGUGGCGUGGGACGAACUAGAACUGGCCCCUCUGUGAUCCAUGCCUCUGACGCACUUCGUCUUUGGCAUGGCCCAUUGUGCGUGGCUUGGUUUCUCGGAUACGGAACCUUAUGUGGGCAUGGGGUUGCUUGCGACCCCGAUUUUGCCCUCGUCAAGCGUUCUUGCCCCUAAAAAACAACACGCGGUCGUGCAUCGACUUGUUUGAU
RNAcentral lists this unclassified non-coding RNA (1003 nucleotides) under Triptilion gibbosum. RNAcentral's name for it is "partial external transcribed spacer". Lineage: Eukaryota; Viridiplantae; Streptophyta; Magnoliopsida; Asterales; Asteraceae. The record is from RNAcentral.